Molecule: long non-coding RNA, 766 nt
Organism: Girardinichthys multiradiatus
Lineage: Eukaryota; Metazoa; Chordata; Actinopteri; Cyprinodontiformes; Goodeidae
Exons: 3
Source: RefSeq, a predicted model, not a curated record
AUCUACAUAUAUUAUAUGAUAUUAUAUGUAAAUAAUAUAAUAGUCAUUUUCUCACCUUUAACCAAAAAUCAUAUUUAUAUUUGUAGCAGGAUGAAGCCUGCCACAGGAUUGGGGACACCUGGCAUCUAAUUAGUGGGUGUGAACAUAAAGGGAGAUUCUCAGGGGCCAAGACUCUAACAUCUUUAAAUAAUGUUUCUUCUCCUGUAUAAGAUCUGCAAUUUUAGUAGGUUAACUCAAAUUGUUUGCAUUUAGAAACUGCCUGAAGUCUCCUGCUUGGUACUGGGGUGUGGUUAUAAAUUACCACCCCCUCAGUUCAUCUUGACAACAUAAAACAGAAAGUAUCGGCAAGCGUAUCCGCCUGCUGUUGGGCCGGAAGGGGCUUUUUGGACGGGGUGGAGUCAUCCAGCUCUGGCUGAAGGCGGUGGGGAGGGCAUCCAGGAGAACUGGACUUCUGUGCAGUGCACAUGACCGGUGUUGGGAUUUGUUCAUGAUUGAGUGUCUGUUCACAAGUGCUUGAGGUGAUUUAUUUUGAUUUAUUUGUUUUAGGAACCAGUUCCCCAUACUUGGAUUGCCCCCCACCUGCUGGUAGACCCCAGUCUUGUGUUCUUCCCUUCCUAUUGUGGCUCUUAGAAUAUUAGUUGUCUUUUAACACAUGGAACAAUAAAAUUUGACUUUUUUUUUUUUUUUUUUUGUGGAAUAAAGUUUUGCUCUCCUUGGCUAUGAACCUUAAAUGCCUUAUUGGCGAUUUAUUUCCUUGGGCAUAAUU